RNAcentral lists this ribosomal RNA (478 nucleotides) under uncultured bacterium. RNAcentral describes it as "partial 16S ribosomal RNA". It matches the Rfam family "Bacterial small subunit ribosomal RNA", at positions 28 to 523 of the family's 1533-position model. The record is from RNAcentral.
GACGAACGCUGGCGGCGUGCUUAACACAUGCAAGUCGAACGGUAAGGCCCUUCGGGGUACACGAGUGGCGAACGGGUGAGUAACACGUGGGUGAUCUGCCCUGCACUUCGGGAUAAGCCUGGGAAACUGGGUCUAAUACCGGAUAGGACCACUGCCUGCAUGGGUGGUGGUGGAAAGCUUUUGCGGUGUGGGAUGGGCCCGCGGCCUAUCAGCUUGUUGGUGGGGUGAUGGCCUACCAAGGCGACGACGGGCAGCCGGCCUGGGAGGGUGACCGGCCACGCUGGGACUGAGAUACGGCGCGGACGCCUACGGGAGGCAGCGGUGGGGAAUAUUGCACAAUGGGCGCAAGCCUGAUGCAGCGACGCCGCGUGAGGGAUGACGGCCUUCGGGUUGUAAACCUCUUUCAGCACCGACGAAGGGCAAGUGACGGUAGGUGCAGAAGAAGGACCGGCCAACUACGUGCCAGCCGCCGCCGUAA